UACGUAGGUGGCAAGCGUUGUCCGGAUUUACUGGGCGUAAAGGGCGUGCAGGCGGUCUGUUAAGUCUAGGGUGAAAGCUCCCGGCUCAACUGGGAGAGGUCCUUGGAUACUGGCGGACUUGAGGGAGGCAGAGGAAAGUGGAAUUCCCGGUGUAGUGGUGAUAUGCGUAGAUAUCGGGAGGAACACCAGUGGCGAAGGCGGCUUUCUGGGCCUUACCUGACCGCUGAG
Molecule: ribosomal RNA, 228 nt
Filed under: uncultured bacterium
Lineage: Bacteria
Description: partial 16S ribosomal RNA
Rfam family: Bacterial small subunit ribosomal RNA
Source: RNAcentral